UUACCCAUUCGUAAGAAUUAAGAGCCCAGAGAGAUGAUCUGGUAGAUAGGCUGGAAGUGGAAGAGUUGCGAGACUUGGAGCGGACCAGUACUAAUCGCUCGAGGACUUUACCAAAA
RNAcentral lists this ribosomal RNA (116 nucleotides) under Xanthomonas citri pv. citri. Its description in RNAcentral is "partial 23S ribosomal RNA". It matches the Rfam family "Bacterial large subunit ribosomal RNA", at positions 2810 to 2925 of the family's 2925-position model. Lineage: Bacteria; Pseudomonadati; Pseudomonadota; Gammaproteobacteria; Lysobacterales; Lysobacteraceae. The record is from RNAcentral.